AUGACAAGCUACGCGGGAUUUACGCAGCUGUUACGUGUAGACGGACUUCGGAUGUUGCACUUCCUCCUCCAGCACAUCGUCCGCCACGUCCCUCUGUACAACAUUCAGAACCACGACCCUCUGUGCACCGUUCAGAACCACGACCCUCUGUGCACCGUGCAGAACCUCAUCCUUCACAGCCAGGGAGAUAUUCCUGGCAUGAGCCACCUUCUUCACAGCCAGGGAGAUCUUCCUGGCAUGAGCCACCUCCUUCACAGCCAGGGAGAUCUUCCUGGCAUGAGCCACCUCCUUCACAGCCAGGGAGCUCUUCCUGGCAUGAGCCACCUCCUUCACAGCCAGGGAGCUCUUCCUGGCAUGAGCCACCUCCUUCACAGCCAGGGAGCUCUUCCUGGCAUGAGCCACCUCCUUCACAGCUAG
RNAcentral lists this ribosomal RNA (417 nucleotides) under Triticum aestivum (bread wheat). RNAcentral's name for it is "partial small subunit ribosomal RNA". Lineage: Eukaryota; Viridiplantae; Streptophyta; Magnoliopsida; Poales; Poaceae. The record is from RNAcentral.